UCUGCCCUGAAGUUCGGAACAACCUGCCGAAAGGUGAGCUAAUACCGAAUGUGAUCUUUUGCAGGCAUCUGCGAAAGCUCAAAGCUGGGGAUCGUAAGACCUGGCGCUUCAGGAUGGGCCCGCGGCCUAUCAGCUAGUUGGUGAGGUAACGGCUCACCAAGGCUAAGACGGGUAGCCGGUCUGAGAGGACGAUCGGCCACACUGGAACUGAGACACGGUCCAG
This 223-nucleotide ribosomal RNA is filed under the name uncultured bacterium. RNAcentral's name for it is "partial 16S ribosomal RNA". It matches the Rfam family "Bacterial small subunit ribosomal RNA", at positions 125 to 334 of the family's 1533-position model. The record is from RNAcentral.